This is a long non-coding RNA of Planococcus citri (citrus mealybug), 486 nucleotides long. RefSeq lists it as uncharacterized. Lineage: Eukaryota; Metazoa; Arthropoda; Insecta; Hemiptera; Pseudococcidae. The record is from RefSeq and is a predicted model, not a curated record. The transcript has 3 exons.
AUUAGUGGUAUAUAAUGUGAGACGAUCUAGCAAGUAGCAUCAUUAGUCGUCCACUGUGCUUAAACCUGUUCGGUUAAUACUAAUUUUUGAUAAUUUUAAACUCUUACGUUUAACUACCUACUAUUUUGAAAUCAUGAAGCCAAUCGUUGCUAUUUACUUCGCUCUUGUAGCUCUCUGCGUCGUCUUCAGCUUUGCUGAAGCUACCAUUUGCGCCAGAGAUCGUCGUUCCGGUGGUCCCCAAAACUUCGCUAACAUUGCUGCGAUGAAUGCUGAAAACGCUCGAGGUGGACAAUAUGACUGGGUGCACAAUGGAGCUUGCUAAAUACCGUUGAAAACCAUCCGUCAUGUCAUCAGUUAUCAGUUACCAUUAUCAGCAAGUAAAAAAUAAACAAUGUGAAAAAAUACGUAGAUUAAAAAACUAAAUCGAUAGAAACUUUGUAGCAUAUGUAAAAUCAAAAUAAUAAUAAAUCCAUUUCUUCAAAUUAA